Molecule: ribosomal RNA, 466 nt
Filed under: Ovis aries (sheep)
Lineage: Eukaryota; Metazoa; Chordata; Mammalia; Artiodactyla; Bovidae
Description: partial 12S ribosomal RNA
Source: RNAcentral
AUAGGUUUGGUCCCAGCCUUCCUGUUAACUUUCAAUAGACUUAUACAUGCAAGCAUCCACGCCCCGGUGAGUAACGCCCUUCGAAUCACACAGGACCAAAAGGAGCAGGUAUCAAGCACACACUCUUGUAGCUCACAACGCCUUGCUUAACCACACCCCCACGGGAGACAGCAGUAACAAAAAUUAAGCCAUAAACGAAAGUUUGACUAAGCCAUAUUGACCAGGGUUGGUAAAUCUCGUGCCAGCCACCGCGGUCAUACGAUUGACCCAAGCUAACAGGAGUACGGCGUAAAGCGUGUUAAAGCAUCAUACUAAAUAGAGUUAAAUUUUAAUUAAACUGUAAAAAGCCAUAAUUAUAACAAAAAUAAAUGACGAAAGUAACCCUACAAUAGCUGAUACACCAUAGCUAAGACCCAAACUGGGAUUAGAUACCCCACUAUGCUUAGCCCUAAACACAAAUAAUUAU